Long non-coding RNA from Zalophus californianus (California sea lion), 558 nucleotides. RefSeq lists it as uncharacterized. The record is from RefSeq and is a predicted model, not a curated record. Lineage: Eukaryota; Metazoa; Chordata; Mammalia; Carnivora; Otariidae. The transcript has 3 exons.
GAAAGGGCACCAGAGCAUCAGCACCUCUCCUCUUGGCUGACCCUGGGGGAGGCCAUAUCAGCACAGUCCUUGAAGACCGCACCUCCCUAAUCUGACACAGACUGGAACCCAUGGUUCUGAAGCCUGCUUGCCCAGUGCCCCGGGCCCCAGGGACUCCUUCCAGGCUUCUGGCCUCCUGAUCUUAGUGCCUCUAGAUCCCAGGCUUCAGAGUCCUCCAGCUAUGCUGUGUUCAGGCUGUGGGCAUGUUCUCCCAAAGGCAUCAGGAAAUCCUCGGGAAGCAAUUCCCAGGCCUCCAGUUCCUGCAUUACUUCCCAGGCUCAACACUCCACCUCUACACCAGUGAAUCUCCCCUCAAGCCUGAGGAUCACAUCAAGGCCAGAGAGAGGGCAACCUGGCCCAAAUCACACAGCAAUGCUCCUUGGUCAUCCAGACCUCACUCUGCCAUGCUGCUCUAGACCCAGAGGACCUUCAGGUUUCCAGGAGGCCUCCCCAGGGACACAAUGGAAAGAAAUGACCUAUUUUCUGGAAGUUCAAAAUAAAACGAAACAUCUGUCUGGA